RNAcentral lists this long non-coding RNA (759 nucleotides) under Ananas comosus (pineapple). RNAcentral's name for it is "long non-coding RNA (ACOM_LNC032563)". The record is from RNAcentral. Lineage: Eukaryota; Viridiplantae; Streptophyta; Magnoliopsida; Poales; Bromeliaceae.
GGGGAGUCUGUGACACCCCAAUAGUUACACAUCGGAUGGGAAAUGGGUUGUCAUUGGGUUUAUAAGAGACUUAGACACUAGUAAUAAUAACUGGGCUUAAGCACUUUGGGCCGGUGAUUGGGCUCAACGUGUUAUUGUUGCUAGUGGGCUGGGUCGUUACAAUGGUUGAAGGAUAUUUGGGGAGUCGGUUAAGGAUUCAAAAUUCGAAAUCGAAUUUUGAAUCGGUUGUUGGGUGGUUAGGUAUUCAAAAUUCGAAUGGAUGUUGGUUGGGGAUUCGAAAUUCAAAAUUGAAUUUUGAAUGGGUUGUGGGAUGGAUAGAUAUUCAAAAUUCGAAUGAAUGUUGGUUGAGAGAUAUUUUGGGAGUUGAUUCGAUGUUCGAAAUCGAAUUUCGAAUAGGGUUGUUAGGAUAACAGAUAUUUUUUGGGGGUUUAAAAAUUUAAAAUCGAAUUUGAAUAUAAUAUUCGAAAUUGAAUUUUCAAACGUGGGUAAAAAUGUGGGCCGUGAUCCUAUGAAUUGGGCUGAAAUUGGGCCCACUUUGAUGAAACUUGUUGGGCGCAAAUAUUCAUUGGGCUGAGAUGUGGCCCAAAUUUUUAUAUAGGCCUAAAAUUUUAAAGGGCUUUUAUGAGACCCAUUAAUUCACAUUUAUGAAUGAGCCUAUUAUAGAUUAUAAUUAUCGGCCCCAAAAUUUUAUAGUCAACAUGAGAUCUAUUAGGAUUGUGCGAGUCCGACUUGAUUUUUUUAUUAUGAUUAUGAUUGUUU